This 484-nucleotide long non-coding RNA is filed under the name Salmo salar (Atlantic salmon). RNAcentral describes it as "lncRNA (ENSSSAG00000119744.1)". The record is from RNAcentral. Lineage: Eukaryota; Metazoa; Chordata; Actinopteri; Salmoniformes; Salmonidae.
GUGGUCAGUAGUUGACUCAAAAAGAGAGAAAGACAAUCGUUGAACCGUUUUGAAUAAAUAAAUAAAAAAUUAAAUUAAGGAGAAAUAAACGAGAGAAAGAGAGAGAGAUAGCUAUAUUUUGUUGUAUUUUUUCUUUUAACUUUCACUUAGCUAGCGAAUGCAGUUAGCUAGUUUGGCCUACUCAAAUACUUGGCUCAAACAGAAAGGGAUGCUAUGUUAGCUAGCUCGCUAUGGCUGUUCAACACUGAAACUCUUUCAAGUCAAGACUGGAAUGUCCAUUGUGCAACGUGUUCUGCAUUGGAUGGACAAAGAGACAUCUCCAGGAUCGCAUGGCUGAACAUAACUACCCCAUACAUGUAUCAGUGGAGGCUCCUCAGAGGAGGAAGGGGAGGACCAUCCUCCUCAGUGAAUUUCAUAAAAAAUGAAAAUUGUAAAACAUUUAUAAAGUUAGAUAAAUCUAUACUAAAUAUAAUCACGUCACCAG